CGAACGGUGAAGCAGAGCUUGCUCUGUGGAUCAGUGGCGAACGGGUGAGUAWGAGUGGGSAACCUGCCCCGGACUCUGGGAUAAGCGCUGGAAAUGGCGUCUAAUACUGGAUACGCACCAGGACCGCAUGGUCAUUGGUGGGAAAGAUUUUUUGGUUCGGGAUGGGCUCGCGGCCUAUCAGCUUGUUGGUGAGGUAAUGGCUCACCAAGGCGUCGACGGGUAGCCGGCCUGAGAGGGUGACCGGCCACACUGGGACUGAGACACGGCCCAGACUCCUACGGGAGGCAGCAGUGGGGAAUAUUGCACAAUGGGCGGAAGCCUGAUGCAGCAACGCCGCGUGAGGGAUGACGGCCUUCGGGUUGUAAACCUCUUUUAGCAGGGAAGAAGCGAGAGUGACGGUACCUGCAGAAAAAGCGCCGGCUAACUACGUGCCAGCAGCCGCGGUAAUACGUAGGGCGCAAGCGUUAUCCGGAAUUAUUGGGCGUAAAGAGCUCGUAGGCGGUCUGUCGCGUCUGCUGUGAAAACCCGAGGCUCAACCUCGGGCCUGCAGUGGGUACGGGCAGACUAGAGUGCGGUAGGGGAGAUUGGAAUUCCUGGUGUAGCGGUGGAAUGCGCAGAUAUCAGGAGGAACACCGAUGGCGAAGGCAGAUCUCUGGGCCGUAACUGACGCUGAGGAGCGAAAGGGUGGGGGAGCAAACAGGCUUAGAUACCCUGGUAGUCCACCCCGUAAACGUUGGGAACUAGUUGUGGGGGCCUUUCCACGGUCUCCGUGACGCAGCUAACGCAUUAAGUUCCCCGCCUGGGGAGUACGGCCGCAAGGCUAAAACUCAAAGGAAUUGACGGA
This 844-nucleotide ribosomal RNA is filed under the name uncultured bacterium. RNAcentral describes it as "bacterial SSU rRNA". It matches the Rfam family "Bacterial small subunit ribosomal RNA", at positions 63 to 917 of the family's 1533-position model. The record is from RNAcentral.